Molecule: ribosomal RNA, 431 nt
Filed under: uncultured bacterium
Lineage: Bacteria
Description: bacterial SSU rRNA
Rfam family: Bacterial small subunit ribosomal RNA
Source: RNAcentral
GAAACCCCGGCUAACUCCGGGCCAGCAGCCGCGGUAAUACGGAGGGGGUUAGCGUUGUUCGGAAUUACUGGGCGUAAAGCGCACCUAGGCGGAUUAGAAAGUUGGGGGUGAAAUCCCGGGGCUCAACCCCGGAACUGCCUCCAAAACUGCUAGUCUAGAGUUCGAGAGAGGUGAGUGGAAUUCCGAGUGUAGAGGUGAAAUUCGUAGAUAUUCGGAGGAACACCAGUGGCGAAGGCGGCUCACUGGCUCGAUACUGACGCUGAGGUGCGAAAGUGUGGGGAGCAAACAGGAUUAGAUACCCUGGUAGUCCACACCGUAAACGAUGAAUGCCAGUCGUCGGGUAGUAUACUAUUCGGUGACACACCUAACGGAUUAAGCAUUCCGCCUGGGGAGUACGGUCGCAAGAUUAAAACUCAAAUGAAUUGACGGGG